Molecule: long non-coding RNA, 569 nt
Organism: Saccostrea cuccullata (small rock oyster)
Lineage: Eukaryota; Metazoa; Mollusca; Bivalvia; Ostreida; Ostreidae
Exons: 3
Source: RefSeq, a predicted model, not a curated record
UUAAAUUUUAGUCUGAUUUCAGUAUAACUUGGCACACAAGUAGACUAUACUAAGAUACAUAAUUCUGUGCAUCAGUUUUUGAUAAGUACAAACCAGUAGAGCUACAGUCUCGACAGAGACUUCUGGUUAUUUUUUCUUCCAUCCCGGUUGUUGCUAAUGCUAUUACAUAAUUAGUUUAAAUUAGAAUGCAAUAGUACCUGGACAUAAUUUAUCAUUUCAGAGAGAAGAAAACUGUGUGACUUUAAAAGAAAACCAGUGAGAUAAAAUCAUAGAAAAUGUAUGAUGAUUCAGGAUGUGGUCAUUUGUGACAUUAAAACAGGAAUUGUCAUCACCAAUAGAUGAAUUUCACAUUCCUAAGAGUUUUCUCCAAUUGUCGGCGUAUCGCUAAUUUUUCCCACUUUGUCCUUUGUCCUGUUCUGUGGAUGCCCUAAGACAGUGUCUACCCAUCACUCCAUCUGAAAUCACUUGUUCUGUGCAUAUUUCUCUCUCAAACUUAAACUACAGAGAGCCUGUGGAUAGAGGAUGAAGAGUGACCUUGGACUAAUUUUCUAGGUCAAAGGUUAGUAUCA